UAUGUGAUCGUCUCUCGCAUAUCAAUAAGCGGAGGAAAAGAAACUAACAAGGAUUCCCCUAGUAACGGCGAGUGAAGCGGGAAGAGCUCAAAUUUGAAAUCUUAAAGGGUUUCCCUUUACGAAUUGUAGUUUAAAGAAGUGUUUUCUGUUGAGGUUUUGGUAAAAGUUCUUUGGAAUAGGACAUCAUAGAGGGUGAGAAUCCCGUAUUUGACCUUUACUUUCAACUUUGUGACACACUUUCAAAGAGUCGGAUUGUUUGGGAAUGCAGUCCAAAAUGGGUGGUAAAUUUCAUCUAAAGCUAAAUAUUGGCGAGAGACCGAUAGCGAACAAGUACCGUGAGGGAAAGAUGAAAAGAACUUUGAAAAGAGAGUUAAACAGUACGUGAAAUUGUCAUAAAGGGAAGCGUUUGACACCAGUGUUGUUUUUCUGAAAAUCAAUUAAAGAACUGUUUAUGCUAAGUUGUUUAGACUUUAUCAGCUAACUGUUUAGUUUUGAGCUUUUCUUUAAUGCACUUUUCAGUUAACAAGUCAACAUCAAUUUCUUUUGCUGUAAAAAAGCUUGAGGAAGGUGGCUUGAGAUUCGUCUUAAGUGUUUAUAGCCUCUUGCCUAUGCAGUCGGAGAGAUUGAGGUCUGCAGCGUAGAUCCUUCGGGGCUAAAUGCAUUUGUGCUAAGUUAUAGCAUUUUAUAGACAACUUGUUGACUAUGAUUUGUCUUGUAGCUUACUCGCUUAUGUUAUUUUACCUACGCUUAGGAUGUUGACACACGCGCGUGCUCG
This 775-nucleotide ribosomal RNA is filed under the name uncultured Neocallimastigales. RNAcentral describes it as "partial large subunit ribosomal RNA". It matches the Rfam family "Eukaryotic large subunit ribosomal RNA", at positions 24 to 643 of the family's 3401-position model. The record is from RNAcentral. Lineage: Eukaryota; Fungi; Neocallimastigomycota; Neocallimastigomycetes; Neocallimastigales.